Molecule: unclassified non-coding RNA, 3196 nt
Filed under: Leishmania donovani
Lineage: Eukaryota; Euglenozoa; Kinetoplastea; Trypanosomatida; Trypanosomatidae
Description: gene:LdHU3.23.1960(CDS-product:T-complex_protein_ 1_gamma_subunit_putative)
Source: RNAcentral
CUUCGCAUUGCUCACUUUCUACACUUCAUUCCGCCGUCCUGCGUCGUGACUCCGCGCACUAUAGAUUGCUGUUUAGCGUCUCCACUGCCUCCCACCCGUUUUCUCCGGUGCCAGUGCCGUUGAAAGACAACGCCGAAAGGAGUGCACAACACACACACACACACAUCAACUUGCGUUUCUUCGCGCUUCUUAUUUGCAUCUUGAGCUGCACGUCUCUCGUACUCUAACCUCCCCGUCCUGAAAGGCAAGCAAUCAACAAUGAACGGGCAGCAACCGGUUAUUGUGGUAAACCAGCGCGUGGAGCGCGAGUCUGGCCGCAAGGCGCAGAUGAGCAACAUCGAGGCAGCCAAGACGGUUGCUAGUCUCAUCAGCAGCACACUGGGUCCAUGUGCCAUGCUGAAGAUGAUCAUAGACCCCAUGGGCGGCACAGUUCUGACGAACGAUGGCAACUGCAUCCUGCGCGAGAUUGAUGUAGUGCACCCCGCGGCGAAGCACAUGCUGGAACUCGCCCGCGCUCAGGACGAGGAGGUGGGUGACGGGACGACCUCAGUGAUUAUCUUGACGGGCGAGAUUCUGAGCCUGGCGCAGCCGUUGCUGGAGCGCAACAUCCACCCGCUCAAGAUUGUGAAGGGCUUCACCCAAGCUCUGUCUGACGCGCUGGCGGCGGUGGAGAAGAUUGCCACCUCGAUUGAUCCCGAGAACAAGGAGCAGUUAGAGGAUGUGGUGCGCGCCUGCCUUGGCACCAAGUUCAACUCCCGUGAGGAGGAGCUGAUGUGCCGCAUGGCUGUUGAGGCAACGCUGCGCGUAGUGCAGGUGAACCCCAUCACUGGAGUCAAGGACAUUGACAUCAAGCGCUACGCCAAAGUGGAGAAGAUUCCUGGCGGCUCCAUUACGGAUAGCGUUGUGCUGGAUGGCGUCAUGUUCAAUAAGGACCACAUUCACUCGAAGAUGCGCCGCGUCAUCGAGAGCCCGCGCAUCCUCUUGUUGGAUUGCCCUCUUGAGUACAAGAAGCCGGAGACGACCAUCAACGUGGAGCUGACCAAGGACACCGACUGGGAGGCCCUGCUGAAACAGGAGGAGGACUACGUCCGCUCUAUCUGCAACGUCAUCAUUUCCUUCAAGCCGGAUGUAGUAAUCACGGAGAAGGGCGCCUCUGACUUGGCGGCGCACUUCCUGUACAAGGCUGGCAUCACCUGCAUCCGCCGCCUUCGCAAGACAGACAACAACCGCAUAGCCCGUGCCACCGGCGCCACCAUCGUUAGCCGUGUGGAGGAGCUGACGCAGGAGCACAUUGGCAAGGCGGGCUUAUUUGAAAUCAAGAAAAUCGGUGAUGAGUACUUCACCUUCAUCACUGGCUGUCCAGGGGGCUCUGCGUGCAGUAUUCUGCUUCGUGGCGCCAGCAAGGACACGCUGAAUGAGAUGGAGCGCAACCUGCAUGACGCCAUGUGCGUGGCGCGCAACAUCAUCCUCGAGCCGCGCAUCGUCUACGGCGCUGCGUCGUGCGAGAUGUCUGUCUCCUCCACCCUCAUGGCGAAAGCCAAGUCCAUUGGCGGCGUGGAGCAGGCUGCGUACCAGGCGGUGGCGAUGGCGCUGGAGGUGGUACCGCGCAUUCUGACGAGCAACUGCGGCGCCAACGUGAUUCGUGUGGUCACGGAUCUCCGAGCACGCCACGCGAACCCGGAGGGGUGGUACUGGGGCAUCGACGGCCACAGCGGACACAUUGUUGAUGCGCGCACCAUCAAGGUUAUCGAGCCAGCUGCGGUGAAGGUUCAGGCGCUGAAAACUGCAAUCGAGGCGGCAUCCAUGAUUCUGCGCGUCGACGACAUCGUGUCCGGUACCAAGCUCCGCGAGGAGAAGCCGACAGCGAAGCCGAAACAGCAGGAUGAGGACCCCGAUGGGGCUGCAGAGCCGUAAGACGGAAUACCUGGGGAAGCGGGAAAAGGACAACGCCGAGAGAGGCAGAGGGGUAAGGAGACGGGCAUGGCGCCGUAAGUGAGACGUUCAUCUGCGUUCCAUCUGCUCCCUCCUCUCUCUAUGUCCUUCUUUCCAUUCACGCUCCACGCAGACGCAUCAGUGUUUUAUAAUCGGAAGUUGUGCCAGGCGGAGCGGGUCAUGCGCGUUGAUGUUUUGGGCACUUGUUUGCGAUUGUGUGUGCCAUGAAGCAGAUUAAACGAGAGGAGGCAGACGAAAAAAGGAUAGCGUUGCUGGACAGGCGCUGGGGCGGAAAGGACUGGCCAGGGACAAGUUGCAGGCAAAAAGAGAGGAGGGGGGGGGCACAGUGCAAAACCUUUGUACGCGUGUGUGCAUCACUUCCGCUUUAGCGUGAGUGCCUUGUUUCUGCCGCCCCCAAACCUUCUACGCAAGCCAAGCACACAGAAGAAAAGCGAGACAAGAUAGCGCGCCGGGACGCCACACAUACACCGACCCCCACCCCUCCCCAUUCGCACGCGAGCACCCGCAGCCGUAGAUGGCUACGGGAGAACAAGGAAUGACUAGCCUGGAAUCUGUAUAGAGGUGUGUGCUGCCUGCACUCUUUUGCCUCUCUCACGCGUAGUCCGUGCCACUGAAUGAUGUGCGUGAGAGCUUGGAAAGAAAAGCGCGCACCCAAGUCUGCACCCUUAGAUGCAUGAUUGCACGAGCUGUGCGUUGUCGCUCGGAUGAGUGCCUCUCUUUAUCUGGUAUCCAUCGCCCUUCUGGGAAUCGCGCGGUGUCGUUGACAACUCGGCGCGGCACAGCUGUAGGGUUAGGGGGGAGGGGAGGGGAGGGCGUAUUGAGGCGAAUAGCGGGUUGAAGACCUUUCAUUUUCGUCAUCCCUUCUUGUUUCAGGCUCCCCAAUGCACCAUCAUGCCUUUGCAUGCGUGCAUGCGAGUGUGCGCUGACUUCUAAAACGAGAAAGGGCAACAACAACAGCUGCACCAGGGAGAGAGAACGAGAUGGAGGGGGGUGGAGGAGUGGAAGGCGGUGGGAGGGGGCAGCCGACAGCGCUAUGCGCUCAACAAGGAAUAGCAUCCUGCGUUAGCCCGUGGCCGUACCACGUUUUUCUCCGUUGUUUGCUGGCUGUGUAUUGUCCAUUUGUGUGCUGUGUAAGUAACAGAAAAGGAGCAAAAAGAAAACGCAUGUUUGUGGGUCUUUUCCGUGUCGAUUUUCAAACCUCAAGUAACGGGCGAGAGCAGAAAGGCGAAAAGGGAACAAUUAG